This 303-nucleotide ribosomal RNA is filed under the name uncultured bacterium. RNAcentral's name for it is "partial 16S ribosomal RNA". It matches the Rfam family "Bacterial small subunit ribosomal RNA", at positions 507 to 809 of the family's 1533-position model. The record is from RNAcentral.
AGCAGCAGCCACGAUAAUACGAAGGGUGCAAGCGUUAAUCGGAAUUACUGGGCGUAAAGGGCUCGCAGGCGGUUUCUUAAGUCUGAUGUGAAAGCCCCCGGCUCGACCGGGGAGGGUCAUUGGAAACUGGGAAACUUGAGUGCAGAAGAGGAGAGUGGAAUUCCACGUGUAGCGGUGAAAUGCGUAGAGAUGUGGAGGAACACCAGUGGCGAAGGCGACUCUCUGGUCUGUAACUGACGCUGAGGAGCGAAAGCGUGGGGAGCGAACAGGAUUAGAUACCCCCGUAGUCCCUGUCUCUUAUAA